RNAcentral lists this transfer RNA (82 nucleotides) under Patescibacteria group bacterium. Its description in RNAcentral is "tRNA-Leu". It matches the Rfam family "tRNA". From Rfam's summary of the family: Transfer RNA (tRNA) molecules are approximately 80 nucleotides in length. Their secondary structure includes four short double-helical elements and three loops (D, anti-codon, and T loops). The record is from RNAcentral.
GCCGGGAUGGCGGAAUUGGUAGACGCAUACGACUCAAAAUCGUACGGAGCAAUCCAUGGGAGUUCGAUUCUCCCUCCCGGCA